Molecule: ribosomal RNA, 740 nt
Filed under: uncultured bacterium
Lineage: Bacteria
Description: bacterial SSU rRNA
Rfam family: Bacterial small subunit ribosomal RNA
Source: RNAcentral
GUAGUCCUGGCUGUAAACGAUGUCGACUUGGAGGUUGUGCCCUUGAGGCGUGGCUUCCGGAGCUAACGCGUUAAGUCGACCGCCUGGGGAGUACGGCCGCAAGGUUAAAACUCAAAUGAAUUGACGGGGGCCCGCACAAGCGGUGGAGCAUGUGGUUUAAUUCGAUGCAACGCGAAGAACCUUACCUGGUCUUGACAUCCACGGAAGUUUUCAGAGAUGAGAAUGUGCCUUCGGGAACCGUGAGACAGGUGCUGCAUGGCUGUCGUCAGCUCGUGUUGUGAAAUGUUGGGUUAAGUCCCGCAACGAGCGCAACCCUUAUCCUUUGUUGCCAGCGGUCCGGCCGGGAACUCAAAGGAGACUGCCAGUGAUAAACUGGAGGAAGGUGGGGAUGACGUCAAGUCAUCAUGGCCCUUACGACCAGGGCUACACACGUGCUACAAUGGCGCAUACAAAGAGAAGCGACCUCGCGAGAGCAAGCGGACCUCAUAAAGUGCGUCGUAGUCCGGAUUGGAGUCUGCAACUCGACUCCAUGAAGUCGGAAUCGCUAGUAAUCGUGGAUCAGAAUGCCACGGUGAAUACGUUCCCGGGCCUUGUACACACCGCCUGUCACACCAUGGGAGUGGGUUGCAAAAGAAGUAGGUAGCUUAACCUUCGGGAGGGCGCUUACCACUUUGUGAUUCAUGACUGGGGUGAAGUCGUAACAAGGUAACCGUAGGGGAACCUGCGGCUGGAUCACCUCC